UACAGAGGGUGCAAGCGUUAAUCGGAAUUACUGGGCGUAAAGCGCGCGUAGGUGGUUCAGUAAGUUGAAUGUGAAAUCCCCGGGCUCAACCUGGGAACCGCAUCCAAAACUGCUGAGCUAGAGUAUGGUAGAGGGUGGUGGAAUUUCCUGUGUAGCGGUGAAAUGCGUAGAUAUAGGGAGGAACACCAGUGGCGAAGGCGACCACCUGGACUGAUACUGACACUGAGGUGCGAAAGCGUGGGGAGCAAACAGG
Molecule: ribosomal RNA, 253 nt
Filed under: uncultured bacterium
Lineage: Bacteria
Description: partial 16S ribosomal RNA
Rfam family: Bacterial small subunit ribosomal RNA
Source: RNAcentral